UACGGGAGGCAGCAGGGGGAAGUAUUGCACAAUGGGCGCAAGCCUGAUGCAGCCAUGCCGCGUGUAUGAAAAAGGACCUUCGGGUUGGUAAAGUACUUUCUAGUCGUGAGGAAGGUGUUAAGGUUAAUAACCUUAGCAAUUGACGUUAGCGACAGAAGAAGCACCGGCUAACUCCGUGCCAGCAGCCGCGGUAAUACGGAGGGUGCGAGCGUUAAUCGGAAUUACUGGGCGUAAAGGGCACGCAGGCGGUUAAUUAAGUUGGAUGUGAAAUCCCCGGGCUUAACCUGGGAAUGGCAUUCAAGACUGGUUAGCUAGAGUCUUGUAGAGGGGGUAGAAUUCCAUGUGUAGCGGUGAAAUGCGUAGAGAUGUGGAGGAAUACCGGUGGCGAAAGGCGGCCCCUGGACAAAGCUGACGCUCAUGGUGCGAAAGCGUGGGGAGCAAACAGGGAUUAGAUACCCGU
Molecule: ribosomal RNA, 460 nt
Filed under: uncultured bacterium
Lineage: Bacteria
Description: bacterial SSU rRNA
Rfam family: Bacterial small subunit ribosomal RNA
Source: RNAcentral